RNAcentral lists this transfer RNA (65 nucleotides) under Arria pallida. Its description in RNAcentral is "tRNA-Cys". The record is from RNAcentral. Lineage: Eukaryota; Metazoa; Arthropoda; Insecta; Mantodea; Haaniidae.
AGUUUUAUAUUCAUAAUAUGAUGCUAGAAUGCAAUUCUAGAGGUGUAUAAAUAGUACUAAGACUU